UUUAAUGACUCGUGGAGCAGUUUCCUCAUGGAUGUGCUUUCCCCUCUGAGCUUCAUCAAGGUCUCCCAUGUCCGUAUGCAGGGGAUCCUCUUACUGGUCUUUGCCAAGUAUCAGCAUUUGCCCUAUAUCCAGAUUCUGUCUACUAAAUCCACCCCCACUGGCCUGUUUGGGUACUGGGGGAACAAAGGUGGAGUCAACAUCUGCCUGAAGCUUUAUGGCUACUAUGUCAGCAUCAUCAACUGCCACCUGCCUCCCCACAUUUCCAACAAUUACCAGCGGCUGGAGCACUUUGACCGGAUCCUGGAGAUGCAGAAUUGUGAGGGGCGAGACAUCCCCAACAUCCUGGACCACGAGUGAGCCUGGGUCUGCAGACCGUUCCCCGCCCUCUGCCCCACG
RNAcentral lists this small RNA (396 nucleotides) under Pongo abelii (Sumatran orangutan). RNAcentral describes it as "retained intron". The record is from RNAcentral. Lineage: Eukaryota; Metazoa; Chordata; Mammalia; Primates; Hominidae.